CAGCCGCCGCGGUAAUUCGAAGGGGGCUAGCGUUGUUCGGAUUUACUGGGCGUAAAGCGCACGUAGGCGGAUCGAUCAGUCAGGGGUGAAAUCCCAGAGCUCAACUCUGGAACUGCCUUUGAUACUGUCGAUCUGGAGUAUGGAAGAGGUGAGUGGAAUUCCGAGUGUAGAGGUGAAAUUCGUAGAUAUUCGGAGGAACACCAGUGGCGAAGGCGGCUCACUGGUCCAUUACUGACGCUAAGGCACGAAAGCGUGGGGAGCAAACAGGAUUAGAACCCCAGUAGUCCAUGUCUCUUAUACA
RNAcentral lists this ribosomal RNA (301 nucleotides) under uncultured bacterium. Its description in RNAcentral is "partial 16S ribosomal RNA". It matches the Rfam family "Bacterial small subunit ribosomal RNA", at positions 509 to 808 of the family's 1533-position model. The record is from RNAcentral.